Megalops cyprinoides (Indo-Pacific tarpon) is the source of this 98-nucleotide small nucleolar RNA. RefSeq annotates it as small nucleolar RNA U13. The record is from RefSeq and is a predicted model, not a curated record. The transcript has a single exon. NCBI's taxonomy places the organism in Eukaryota, Metazoa, Chordata, Actinopteri, Elopiformes, Megalopidae.
AUCCUUCGGUUCAUGAGUAUGAUGAUUGGGUGUUUCACAGAUGAUCUGUGAAAUGUACAGCCUAAACUUGUUACGCAGUGUACAUAACCCUUCUGAUC